UGAGGAACAUGACUUUCGGCGGGGGAUAGCCGGCCCAACGGCCGGGUAAUACCGCGUACGACCACAUGGGGACAUCCCUGAGUGGUGAAAGCAGCAAUGCGCCGAUGGAGUGCCUCGCGGCCUAUCAGCUAGUUGGUGAGGUAACGGCUCACCAAGGCGACGACGGGUAGCCGGUCUGAGAGGAUGGCCAGCCACAGUUGGGACUGAGACACCGGCCCAGACCUCCGUAGGGACGG
RNAcentral lists this ribosomal RNA (236 nucleotides) under uncultured bacterium. RNAcentral's name for it is "partial 16S ribosomal RNA". It matches the Rfam family "Bacterial small subunit ribosomal RNA", at positions 118 to 348 of the family's 1533-position model. The record is from RNAcentral.